UUGCGAAAAGUUUGGUUUACCUUUCGGAGUCUCAGACAGGCUUCCCGUUGACAGCUUUGCUAGGCCCAUUGUCUUGUGCUCACGCGGGAGCUUUGUUGAAAAAGGUGAUUCAGGUGUAUCAGGAUGCUUCCCAGGAAUAUCCAUCGGUCUAUGAAACAGCAAAUGAGCCACAGUCCGGUCUACCGGAUUGGUCUCUGUUUCCACCUCAGGCAUCUUAACCACCCUGCAGUAUACUCAUAAAAUCCAUGAGGAAAAUGACAGGAAACUUUGAGAUUGCCAUACUCUAAACAAAUUGAUAAAGACUUGAUUAAUAAUUUUGUGCAAACAAAUUGAAUGAUUUGAAAUGGGAAGGACGAGAUGUAAAGGAACAAACCCAUUGGAACAAGAAACAAUCACAUUGUCGCUUACAACAAAAAAUCGAGUUUCAGAUCAAAACAGCUUAUGGUUUUGGCUGGAAGUGUCCCAUUUAGACAUUGAUGAGCCGAUUAGAAGAUGAUUUGAGUUCUUAAAUUUCUUGCUUAAAAUGUAAUGUAUCAUGAUUCUGCAGAUGAUCAUUAAAUUAGAAGGGAAAUUUAAUUUUGCCCUGUUUAUCUAAAGUUGUGCAAGUUCUCUGCAUUGAUGAUUCCAGUGAAUUUGUACAGAUCUUGUUUUCCUUCUAUUUGUCCUUGAAUAAACUUAUUGCACUUGUUGAACAAUCUUUGUUUCUCUCUCUUAGUUAAAUCUAGUAAAAUUUAUCAUGUAUGUUGUGCCACUCAUUUAGACUUGGAUGUGCGUGUUUAGCUCUUCUUUUCGGAUUAAGGUGAUUAUGCACAAAUUCACUGGAAUCAACAUUGCAGAAAACUUGCAUAGAUUUUGUUAAUAUUGGAAAAAUUAAAUUCGUUUUCUAAUUAAAUGAAAAUCUCUCCUAAAUAUUAUGCUAUUUGAAUUGUCACCUCAUGACUACUUGCUGCACUGCACUCAUGAAUGCUGCACCAGGGUAAAGCUACAAAUGUCAGUUUAAUAUCUGCCUCUACCUAGGUUGGCCUACAUACAAUACCAAAGCUUCUCUCAACUAAAUCAAGACAUGAUGACCAGCACUCACAAUCAUAACAGAACCAGUGGAAGCGAACUACUACAUAUUUGAUCAACAAGGUCAAAUUCAGUCAAGUUUUUAAGGAAAUCCAGUGAAAGAGGAACCUAAAAUUUUCUGUUUAGAUUUUCUUCUACUUCUAAGAACAAGCGCUGCCUUAAUUGAAUUGUUUCAGUCACUAUUCCUCCAUUGUAAAUAGAGGAUACCGUUUUCAAUAUUUAUUUCCAGAGUGAGAAUGGAAAACAGAAAAUGGUGAUGGCAUUAAAAGAUCCUAAUUUAACAUUUCCAUAGAGCAAAAAUGUUUUUUAAAAAAGAGAGAGGAUAGAUUAAAUUUGAAAACAGAAGCAUGAGAAAUGCAUUACCUUAACCAACCUUCUUUGACUACUAUUGUUUGUACUGCCAGUAUCACUAGCAUAAUGCCUUUGCAUUGCACUUUGAGCCAGCCGGAACAAGCUAUCCCGAAUACAAAGUCUAAUUCUGACAUCCAACUGUUGUAAAACAUUGGUUUGGAAUCGUAACCAAGCACAAAUUAUUUAGCAGGGAAAGAAUGCAAUAGUAGGUGAAGCAUACCUUUGAAAUAAUAUCUUGAAGCCUGUAGAGUACUGUGUCCUCCAUUGAAUAAUCAUUAACCGCCAGAGAGACUGUAUUGGAAUCGUCUUGCUCAAUAGGUGAGUUUGGGUCAAAUGAAGCAAGUGUACUUAGAUCCUCUACUUCAAGGUCAGCUCCUUCAACAUGCUGAAUUUGAUUUUCUUGGGAACACUUUUGAUGAACAAGCUGCUGCUGCUGUUUCUGAAUGGCAAGCAUUGCCUGAAUUUGUUGCCGCCUCCUUAAUUUUUCAAUCUUUUCCUGAGGUGUCAUUCUCUGGGGUUUCACUGGACAGUCAGCUAACUUGUUUAUAGGAUUUGCAUUGCCUGAAACUUCAUAACCAGAAAUUUUAGGUCGAUGAUUAAAUGACUAGAAAUUUUGUUGGAAAGUCAGAAAACUUUAACAGGAUUCGCAUUACCUGAAGAAACUUCAUAACCAGAAGCUAAAGGUUGAUGCUUAAAAUCCCCAGACUGAAUGUGGGACAACCCAGGCAUAGAAUAUGGAUUUGUAAUACUCCCGUAGGCAGAAGGGGCCACAAAUGGAUUGGAUAUCUGCUGGUACUGCAACUGCUCGGAACCCUGUAGCUGCUUCUGUUGGCUGAGAAUUGAAGGGGGAGAAGAUUGCAUAAUUUGGGGUUCUAAAUGAUCCUUAAGUUGACAGGCUGGGAUUCCAGAUGAAGUCCAGUUUCCAUAAAAAUCUUGGUAUGAUUUCAGUUCACCUUUUUCUUCCAGUUUUUCCCGACCUUUCAAGAUCUUCUUUUGCCUGUAAGUCUGAUCACAGAACUAUAAACAUAUAAAUAGACAAAUUACUUAGAAUAGAUCAACGUUUUAACCAUCUAGACCUGCAGGGGAGAGUGACUAAGGCACAGUUAGUAUUUUAACUCAGUACAUGGUUUGUAAGGAUAAAUUCAAUGUUAUUUUUUUUUUUUAAUUGUAACUUACGAUCCAAAGGGCUUCUAUUGUUCAGAAUAUAUUGAGGUAUUAGCUAAACUAUGCCAAGCAAACAGAAUUUGCAUGUCCCUGGGAAGAGUGGGUGUCAUACUAGAAAUAUAAAUUACUGAUGCCUCCUGAAUUUUGACAUGCUAUUCCUUUCUCCUUCCUACUAACAGAAAACCAGACAAUGGCUUUACUUUAGGCAAUCGAUAUCAUGGUUAAGUCAUGGAUUUGACAUCAAGGAUAACUUAAUUGAUGCAUUAUUGAAGUGAUGACUAAAUCAUGUAAAUCCAUAUUCACCCAACAUCCAAGUUUAAUCUCAUUCCAAAAAAUAAAACUAAUAGCAUGAAUUAUGAAGAGACGAAGAGGAAUUUAAAUAAUAUAAUUUCUCUUUUCUGUCGCCAUUUUCCAUUCCAGAGAAGUACUCAGGAAGUCUUAAUAAGUUCAAGUGUAAGGUAACUUUUACCCUUCCCAGCUCUAAUUAGGUUUCGCUGUCCCUCCAAUCUAAUUUAAGAUCUAAUAUGAGGAAACCACACUGUAUUAGUGAAAGGAUCACAAUAUCAAGAUUUUCCAACUUCAAUUCACUGAUAUAACUUUUCUUGAAUCCUGGACAAAAGAACUUAGAACAUCAAAAGAUCAUAGCAGGAUUCUAAAAAACAAAGAUUGUAUUUGGUGCCUAUUGAGUCUAAAAGUUAUCUUGGAUGAAAAGGGUAAAAAUCAGUAAUAUGUCUGGUUCAGUAUCAAGAUUUUGAAAAUAUCAAAAGGAAGAAAAAAAAAGGUACCUUGUUUGCUAAUUCAUUUGGAAAAGCACCAUUUUCCUCUGUCAGUUGAGAGUUAGCCGCCGUGUUCUUUCCCACAACAGCCAAAUCUGUCUGCAAAAGCACAAAAAAAUAAAAUAAAAAAUGCUAAGCUUCUCUCAGCUCCUGCACUUGAGCAUGGGGCAUUAAUAAGUGAACUCAUUACUGAAAAUUGAGUCGCUAUACCUGCUCCUUCAGUAUAGGCUUGUUUUUACCUUCAUCAUAUUCUACAUGAUCAAGGCUUGCCUGAGUAUUCUGCAGACCAUGAGAUGCAGGGUCGUUCAUUUUUCCAUAGCCAAGGGCAAACAGCUGGUCCUCUUCUCUCGAAGCCACAGAUAUUGGAAAGGGCUUUACCGGGCUGUUAGUUGUACAUUUUGAAGAAGACCAUAGCUCAUCAGCAUUACCAAGAUUUACAUUGCCAAAUAUUGGGUCAUCAUUGCUGCAAAAUCACCACUUGUGAGGAUAUUGAGUCAGAUGGUUAUCACUGUUCUCCAACAGAAUCAAGAUAAAAUAUAAGAACAUUAGUGAAGAACAGAAAUGCAGGAAAGCCCUUCCACAAUUGAACAAGCUCACCAAUUCCUUACAAAUCCAGUGCUGCUAUAUUACAUUCUUUCUGCCAUUUAUACUUGUAAUUGAGGAUAUUGUGCUGCUAAAAACUCGCAUCCUUCAGGUUCUUUUCACAAUUAACAAAAUUAAGCCAGGAUCAAAAACCAUAAAUUUUCAAACAACUAGUCUUUUUUGUUAGUGUUGCUUUCAGCAGACAGCACUUGUUUGGAAAAGGAUAUAGAUCCAAAACAGAAGAAACUACAAUUAUUAAAAGAGUCUGGUUGUUUUUCCUUCACAACAACACUCUUGUAGUACAUGAUUUUUUUCUUCUGAAAUGAAAAUAGGCAGUGAGCAUAAUUAUUUUGUCCGCGAAACUUUCACUUCACAGUCAGUAAUAAGAAUUUGUUCAAAUUAUCAGAAUAAUGAGAUGUACAAGCUUCCAUAUCAGGGUGCUGCUGACCAUCUUUCAUUUAGGUGCAGAAAGUAAGAAAUGGUAACUGUGCUUUACCUAAAAAUUCGAUCAAGAUCAUCAAAGCUUCCAAUGCUAGCCCAGCCAUAAUCAACAAAAUCACCUUGCUCUUCACCUUCAUGAGGAUUUUGAAAAAUCUCAGUGUCCUUAUCAAGAUGAUCUGUCUCUGCGUUUUAAAAAAAAGAAUUAGAAUGACAGUAGCAUGUAAGAUACUAUGCUAUGAAAACAUCAUGCAACUCGUCACCCUAUCUACAUUUUUUCCUUGUAAUUGAAAUCUCAUCACCUGCUGAUGAAUCGAGUUUGGUAAUCUCAGUUAGAUUGUUAGAGAUUGAAGUUUCCAAGGAAUCCUGCUCAGUUUUGGCAGCAUUACGUGAGGACAAGUUAGGCCAUCGGUCCAUGUCAAGUCCUAAGGAAGAAGUUCCUUCACUUGUGUCAACAUUCGAAAUGCUCUCCAGCUUUCUGCCAUCAGUAUCAACUUUAGCCCCGGGUGCCUUCUGCUCACUAGAUUUAAUGGUGCUAGCUUCUUCACUCGAUUCCUUUUUCUUGCAAUAAUCUUCACUUGCCUCUGGAUAUGGCACGAUAUGGUCAUCACUAUCUUCAGCCUCACCCCAUAUUAUGUUCGUAAGCUGAAAAGAUAGUGAGUAAGCAUCAUCACUAAAUGUGGGAUACAUGAGAAGAAUGAAACAGUCACAAGUUAAUCUCUGGGUAACUUGGCAAGACUAUUUUCCCCAACAUAAUAUUCUGAAUAAUACACUAAUUAAUCAGUUCAGUUCCUUGUAAGGUGUGCGUGGGCACAUAUGAGCACACAUGUGUGUACGAGAGUUGCUAGUGUCAAUGAGUUGGGAACAAAAUAUUUAAUUGAGUCAUGCAGAAAAUACUAAAAUGUUCUAAAUUGUGUUAAAAAUAAAAUAGAAAGUAGAAGCCAUUGGCAUGAUUCAUUUAAAAAUUUCUACAAAAUUAAAAAAAGAAAACAAAACAAAAGGAGGAGAUGGCCCAAAGCAUGCUCUCAAUAAGAUGAAGUAAGACCUAAAGCUUCAUUGCAUGUACAGAGCACUUUGGAAACUUCAGUCUGGACAAAUAAAACCAAGGCAAAGUAUCUUCUUUUUGGAACUAAUUUCUUCACAGUAAGAUAUAACAUCCAACGCUACCUGCAUCACUUUCUCAUGGUCCUCUCUGACUCGAGUGAUCAUAAACCUUCUCAAAUCCCAUUUAAAGAAGAUUCCCUUUCUCACUUUUCGUUGGUAUUAUUUGACACCAAGAUCACAACCAAACAUUACCAAUAAGUGUGUCACCGGAGAAAGAAACUUAGGUGCCCUAAUACCAUAAAUAAAACCUAUUCAAUAAAAAUUAGACAAUAUUUUAUAGCUGUACAUCUAUAAUCAAAGUAAAAUGCCCAAAACUCUGAAUCCUGAAUAUGUGAAUCAAAGUAAAAGGCCCUAACUGAUGCACCAUCAGCAGUCUCCUACUUUGACUUGUGAUUAAUGACCUAGCAGUUCACUUCAACAACAUUAGUGAACAUAAGUUUGAAUUUCAGACCCAGCAAGAAGAAGUACAUUUUCCAGUAGGCAUGCAUAUCACCUUUUUAUCAAUAUCCAUGGAAGACAAACCAAGCAAUAUCAAGUUUUUUUCUGCUGGAUAUCCAAUAAAAAAUACCUCAUAGUGUGAACAUCUUUAAGAAGGAGGAUAUCACAUUGCACCCCAUCAACUGAUCCACAAAUAAAUUUGCAUCUUUCCAUCAGUUCCAAGCUCUUUGUAAGGAAAAGGGAGGGAAGUGCCUUCAAAGAUACCUUCUUCAUAGCUUCUUUAGAUAUGAAUCCACACGGCUUUCGUAAUCACCAAUCACUAUGCGCAGCUUCUCUUAUCAUCACAAGCUCCAUCUCUUUCCACGUCCUAACUUCAUUCGAUGAACUCUUCCCUCAGUUCCCAAGAAAAAUUAUAUUCAUCCCUCCUGCAGCCUUUUCCCUGCAUAUUUCCACCAGCUUCAUAGCUAUAUGGCCUGUGAAAACUGUCGUUGUUGCAGUGAUUCUGAACAACAAAAAUAACAAAGGAUAAUGCUUGUGUUUAAGAAGAGAUUGAUGAAUGAAAAGCUUAAAUACUUUAUUCAUAACUGCAGCUCAAUUUAUAGAGCUGAUACAUAACAAACUCCUACGAUCAUGGUCCUACAUUCAAGCCAUGAUCAAUUGAUAAUGGAAAUAACAGAGCUGCGAAAUAGCAGCAAGAACAAGAGAAUAGGAACAGAAUUGACUAAAUCAAAAAUUAAAGAAAGAAUAAAAUUCCAGCUCAGCAGUCCUGAACAUUAUUUCUAACACUCCUCCUUGUUUAGGAGCUGCAAACUCCCAACUUUGUUCUCAGAAAUUCGAAUUUGUUGACUGGCAGUGGUUUGGUGAAAAUAUCAGCUGCUUGUUCUUCAGUUUUGCAGUAAAUAAGAAUGAUACUCCAAUCUUUCUGCACCUCUCUCAAAAAGAAUAAUUUGAUGUUGAAGUGCUUGGUUUUCCCGUGAAACACAGGAUUAUUAGAGAUGGAAAUGGCAGCUUGAUUGUCAACUAGAAUUUCUGUGCUUUCCUUUUGCUCCAGGUUAAGAUCAGAUAAAAUUUUCCUCAGCCACAAAGCUUGAUUGACAGCAGCUGUUGCAGCCACAAACUCAGCUUCAGCAGUGGAUUGGGCUACGGUUUCUUGCUUUUUUGAAUUCCAUGAAAACACACCAGAACCUAAAGAGAAACAGUAGCCUGAUGUGCUCUUCAAGUCAUCAAUUGAGCCUCCCCAAUCACUGUCAGAGUACCCGACCAGUUUGAACUCUCUACUUCUUGUGUAUCUUAUGCCAAAAUUGCAGGUUCCUUUGACAUAUCUUAUCACUCUUUUAGCAGCCUUGAAAUGCAAUUCACUAGCACAAUGCAUGAAUCUAGACAAGAUACUCACAGCAUUCAAAAUAUCAGGCCUAGUUGCAGUGAGAUACAUCAAGCAUCCAACAAUUUUUCUGAAUUGUGCUUGAUCAACCUUCUCGGCUCCAUCUUCUUUACAUAGCUUCUCCUUUUGAUUCAUAGGAGUGCUUACUGCUUUGCAAUCUUCAAGUUUGAACUUUUUGAGGAUUUCUUUGGCAUACUUCUUCUGACAUAUGAACACUUCAUGUUCAGCUUGCUUAACUUCCAUUCCAAGAAAAAAGGACAUCAAACCCAAAUCUGUCAUCUCAAAUACACUCAUCAUCUCUUGCUUGAACGUCUCCACAUUAUUGUUGUUAUUUCCUGUUACAAGCAAAUCAUCAACGUAAAGUGAGAUGAUAAGGAUGUUAUCACCAUUUUGCUUGAUGUAAAGAGUCGAUUCAGAGAGGCUUUUAGUGAAUCCCAAGUGCUGCAAAUGUUCAUCGAUUCGGCUGUACCAAGCUCUUGGAGCUUGCUUCAAUCCAUAUAGUGCCUUCUUAAGAAGACAGACUUUGUCCUCCUCUCCUUCAUUUGCAAAGCCUUCUGGUUGCUCAGUAUAGAUCUCCUCCUGCAAAACACCAUUUAAAAACGCUGACUUGACGUCCAUUUGAUACACCUUCCAAUUCAGUUGUGCUGCAAUGGCAAGUAGCAGCCUGAUAGUGUCAAGUCUUGCUACCGGUGCAAACGUGUCUGAGUAGUCCACGCCAAAGAUUUGUGCAUAACCCUUCACCACUAGCCUGGCUUUGAGCUUAUUGAUUGAGCCAUCAGCGUUGAGUUUUGUUCGAUACACCCAUUUUACACCGAUUACAUUUCUGUUUUGAGGUCUGUCAACCAACUCCCACGUGUUGUUUCUCGUGAUCAUGAGAAGCUCCUCCUUCAUCGCAGCAAGCCAAUUUUGAUCUAGCUUGGCUUCUUCAAAGUCUGCUGGUUCACACACAGCAAUGUUGCACCUUUGAUACACAUCAAGGAGUGACCGUGUGCCUCUAACAGGAGUGUCAUCUGUCAUGUUGAUGUCCCAAUCUUCCAUGCUUUGAUCAUCUGUGUCUGAAACAAGAUAAUUGCCUUUUGGAGAGGCUGAAUCUUCUUUGAUUGCAUCGUUCCAAUCCCAUUCUUCAUCUUCCAGGAAUUGGACAUCUCUGCUUAUAACGAUUUUUCCAGUUUGUGGCUGGAAAAUCUUAUAAGCCUUUGAAACUAAGCUGUAGCCAACAAAAAUGCCUGGAAGUGCUUUCUUGUCAAGUUUAUCCCUCUUGACCUGUGGAACAAGGGUGAAGCACAAACAUCCAAAUACCUUAAGAAAAUUCAGAGAUGGUUUGUAACCAUACCAUGCCUCAAAGGGUGUUUGAUCCUUCAAGGCUCUUGUAGGCAGUCGAUUUUGCAAGAACACAGCAGUGUUUGCAGCCUCUGCCCAGAAUUUCUUUGGUAAAUUCUUCUCAUGUAGCAAGCAUCUUGUCAUUUCCAAUAUGAACUUGUUUCGCCUCUCACUAACUCCGUUUUGCUGAGGAGUAUACGGAGUUGUUAGCUGAUGAUGAAUGCCUGCCUCCUCACAAAAAACGUUGAAGGCAUUGGAAGUGUAUUCCUUGCCAUUGUCUGAUCUGAGGGCUUGAAUUUUGCAGCCACUUUCAUUUUCAACUUUGGCCUUGAAAUUCCAGAACACCUGUGCUACCUCUGACUUGUGCUUCAAGAAGAAAAUCCAGCACAUUCGGCUGUAAUCGUCAAUGAAGACAGCAUAAUACAGACUCCCAUUUAGAGAGAGUGUCCUUUGUGGUCCUGCAAUGUCAGUAUGAAUCAAUUGCAGCUUCCUUGUUGCUCUCCAUGUGGCUUCUGGAAAGGGCUUCCUGUUUAGCUUGCCAGUGUGACAAGUUCUGCAGCUGGAUAUGUGAUCAUCAAGUGCUGGGAAAUCCUUAGCCAUCAUCUUGGAUUUCAUAAGCAUCAGCCCUCUAUGAUGAUAGUGCCCGAGCCUCUUGUGCCAAAUAUCUGUGAUAUUUUCUUUAAUUGGGAAAGCAGUAUGCUCCUCCUCCAAUGGAUUUAGAGCAAAACUCUUCCCUUUCAUGAUUAUUUUGAAAAUAUCAUGACCAUUCACAUCUUUGAUCAAGCAGCAAUUGUUUUCAAACACUACUUUAUAACCCUUCUCAAUAAGCUGACCAACACUGAAUAAAUUUUGAUUUAUACCAGGGACAUACAAUACAUCAGAGAUGAACUUAGUACCUGAGCAAGUCAAGAUUGCCACGGUUCCCUUUCCUUCAACAACAAGGUAUUCUCCAUUUCCAAUUCGAACCUUUGAAGUUGUUUGUUUCAGCUCCUUGAAUAUGUUUCUGUCAUGUGUCAUGUGGUUGGUGCAACCACUAUCAAUGAGCCAGCUUUCACUUGAGUCAUUUCUGGAAAUGCAAGUGGCCACAAACAAUUGAUCUUCUUCUUCUUGAUCAGCAAUUUGAGCUUCUUCACCAUGCUGUUGAAUUUUGUUUUUGCAGAUGACAGCCUCGUGCCCCAUUUGAUUGCAUUUGUUGCACUUAGCUUCUGGUCUUCUCCAACACUUAAAAUGUGGAUGUGAUCUCCUUUUACAAUGCUGGCAUGGAGGAAAAGGUCCUUUUUUGUUUCCAGUGUUGCUCCUUGUUGAAAUUCCUGGAAUCACCUGAUGAUGCUUGACUGCUUCCAUUCUUCUUGUAAUUCUUUCCUUUUUCUCUAUGCUUGACGAAUAGAGCUCCUUCAAUCUCAUCUUCCUGUCUCAUGAUCCUCCUUUGCUCCUGAGCUUGUAAUGCAUUUAGCAUUUCUGUCAAAGUAAUUUUUGACAUAUCCUUGGUAUUUUCCAAGGAUGUAAUUGUAGCUUCAAAGAUUUCAGGAAUUGUUACAAGAAUUUUUUGAACAAUUCUUGACUCAGGCAGGGACGAGCCAAGUAAACUGAUUCGGCUUGCAAUAUUAAGCAGCCUGUCAGAGUACUCUUUGAUGGAUUCAGUCUUCUUCAUCUUCUGCAACUCGAAAUCACGCAUCAAGUUCAACACUUGCAUACCUUGAAUUCUUUCAUCCCCUUCAUACUCAGUCUUGAGAAACUCCCAUAUCUCCUUUGCUGUUUUCAGAGACAUGAUUCGAGUGAAAAUGGUGGAUGCUACUACAGCAAACAAGCACGCCUUUGCCUUUGAUUUUUUUGUCUUCUUCUCCUUCUGUGAUUUGAUCUGCACCAUGGUGGGAUUGUUUGGAAGUGCAGGGAUUUCAUAAUCUUCUUCCACUGCCUCCCACAAAUCCAAAGCCUCUAAGUAUGUCUCUAUCCGUACUGCCCAAAACUGGUAAUUGUCACCAUUGAACACUGGUGGAGCAAUUGAUGAGAAGCUUACUUCUGUCUCCAUGGGUUACAACACAGAUCCCUUUAAAUCAAGAUGCUCUGAUACCAAUUGUCGUUGUUGCAGUGAUUCUGAACAACAAAAAUAACAAAGGAUAAUGCUUGUGUUUAAGAAGAGAUUGAUGAAUGAAAAGCUUAAAUACUUUAUUCAUAACUGCAGCUCAAUUUAUAGAGCUGAUACAUAACAAACUCCUACGAUCAUGGUCCUACAUUCAAGCCAUGAUCAAUUGAUAAUGGAAAUAACAGAGCUGCGAAAUAGCAGCAAGAACAAGAGAAUAGGAACAGAAUUGACUAAAUCAAAAAUUAAAGAAAGAAUAAAAUUCCAGCUCAGCAGUCCUGAACAGUAUUUCUAAUUUCUGCUGGAUAUCCAAUAAAAAAUACCUCAUAGUGUGAACAUCUUUAAGAAGGAGGAUAUCACAUUGCACCCCAUCAACUGAUCCACAAAUAAAUUUGCAUCUUUCCAUCAGUUCCAAGCUACUUUGUAAGGAAAAGGGAGGGAAGUGCCUUCAAAGAUACCUUCUUCAUAGCUUCUUUAGAUAUGAAUCCACACGGCUUUCGUAAUCACCAAUCACUAUGCACAGCUUCUCUUAUCAUCACAAGCUCCAUCUCUUUCCACGUCCUAACUUCAUUCGAUGAACUCUUCCCUCAGUUCCCAAGAAAAAUUAUAUUCUUCCCUCCUGCAGCCCUUUCCCUGUAUAUUUCCACCAGCUUCAUAGCUAUAUGGCCUGUGAAAACGACUCCCAAAUUAAAACACUUGAGAAGCUCUAAUAGUUUUCUUAUUAUUUCUUCACUCUUUGUCAGUGUGCCACAUUCAAAUACUACUGAUCGAUUCUUCCUCGUCACAACCACUCACUUUCCCCUAAAUCCCAUACCAACUAAAUCAAUAUCUCUUAUCACUUAUCAAAACUCCAUCUAAUUUCCAAAUGAAUCACACCAUUUGAACACUUUGCCAAUUCCUAAUUCCUUCAAAAUUUUCAUCCAUCAAAAAAAAAACUGCAAGUCAUACUUUUUCACUCUAACACAGUUCUCCUUAUAAUCAAUCUUCCAAUUUAACCAUACUCUUGCCUCUAAAUCUGGCACGCAAAGCUUCUACAUAACCUUCCAACGUUACUUCUUGCCUCCCAACAAGGGUGGAGGCAUGCAUGGGCUAGGGUGGGCUCUAGCUCAGGUGAAGAUUUUAUUAAUAUUUUUGUUCUAGUUUUAUGUAAAGAAAAUUUGUAAUUCUCAAUUUACGUGGAGCCUUCUAAUAUGAUGCUUUAACUUGAGUUAAAAUUUUAUAAUUUUUGAAGAAAUUCAGAAAUUUGAUAAAAAACAAAAUCAUAAUUUGACCAAUUUUAUGUUAUUGGGUGUAAUUUUCAAUCUGACCAUCAGAUUGAGCUAAAAUUUUACAAGGAAUCUUAAAAUAUAUUAAAUAAAAUCUGGUUUAAAUUUUAAAAUGAACAGAGUUUGGUAGUGCUAACAAAAAAAACAUCAAAUAAAAGCAAAAUGACUCAUUAAGGGUAAAAUUGUUAUUUGCCAUAAAAAAAAAUCAGUUCUUCCUUCCUUUAUAUGUUGCUGACUGGGCAGAAACAAAAUAGAAAAUGAAAGAAAAGAAAAGGCGAGAGAAAAAGAGAGAAAAGUAAGGGAAAAACAUAAAAAAAAUCCUAGAAAAAAAGAUAAGAAAAGUGAGAAAAUAACCUUAUAAACUUAUAAAGUCCAACUUAUAAAAUAUUAAUCUAAGGAAGAAGCAAGUGAAGGAAGGAGGAAUUGAGAGAGGGAAAAAAUUUAAUUAUUUUAUUUUUCAGUUGACAUGAGAUUGUUAUUUUAUCCCGGUUAAGGGAUUGUUAUAAUAUCAAUUCAAAUUCGAUUAUAGAUGAAUUAUAUUUCACAAAACAUCGAAAGAUGUAACUUUAAUAGUGAGUUUAUUUUUACUUUCACUUUAAUUUUAUAUAUUUUUAAAUUUAUUUUUUAAUAUUUUAGGUAAUGUAUUUGAAUUAAAACUUUACUAUUAACUUUAAAAACUCAUGUACAUUAAUUAAUAAUUUAUCUUAAAAAAAAUAUUAUAUAUUUAUUUAAUAGUGCAGGACAGAAAAAAAAUCUAGCAAAAUUUAUUCUUUCCAACUUUAUUUGUUUUGACUGAAAAAUAAUCUUUUAUUUUUGUACUUCACAGGCAUGUGGUGGCAAAAGUCGAGCACGAUAUAUAUAUAUAUAUAUAUAUAUUUCUUAAGAUACAUAUGGCUGGUGAUUGGCGGAUGAUGGUGUCAUUAAGACUCUUGGUGUGUACCCUCAUCCUUUCUGUUUAUAGUUUAGUCCAUUUGCAGCUUUAAUGGCUACUAUCAGUUGCUUUGGAACCUGAUAUCACUAGUCUCAUUAUGGUACAGACAAGCUCAGGAUGAUCAAUCCUUGAGAAUCCACAUCCAACCAGAAAUAAACCGAAUUUCGAGCAUAAAUGACUCGAACUCGCUGGAAUGCUUUGGCACCUCCUUCAAUCCUAGUUUGGGAAACAGAAACACUAUCACCGUUAGUUUUCACCGAGGAAGACAGCACCCCCAUUCUCUCCUGCUGUGCUGAUGAUGGGGCAUGAGAGAUAGUCCAAAGGAUUUGCCUCACGUUGAAGUAUGCAACUGUCUAUGGUUAGCCUUCUCUUUUGUGAUGCAAGCAGCAACCAAGCUCUGCCUUCACUGCAUAAAGAAAUGAUUGAUUCACGAAGCCUGACUUCUUUGAAUUUGAAAGAUUAGAAUCAUUGGAAGAGAAAGAAGAAAAGGUGUAAAUGACAGCGGAAUGCUAUUAUACCAUCUGCCAAGGUAAUGCCAAGUCUACUUGCGAGGUAUUUAUAUCAUAAUUUUUAAAUAUUAGAUUGUCAGCGCAUACCAAGCAAAGAGCUUCGAUUCACAACGAAAUGAAUCCGUGCUAUGGGUUAUCAUCUGAUAUCAUCAUUCAUCAACAAUUAAUCGAAUGGGUUUAUACAUGAAAUGUUUUUAGUUUCUUAAUCAAUAAUUGAAGUUUUUAAUUGGAAGUCAAAUUAUUCUUAGAGAAUAAUAUAAUUAAACUAAACCUUGGUUAAUUGAUUGCUAGCAAAGGUGUACAUUUACAUGGCUUGAAAAUGAAGCUUAUCUUCCAUUUAAUUUUAUCAAAUAAAUUAUUUAUAGAGUAGUUUUGAGUGAUAUAAAUCAAAUAGGAAUUAAAUCAUGUUAAAACAUUUAAUUUUGUUGUCCCUUUAUAUUACAAACAGCAACAUUACGUAUCAUGUUUAUAAAUUCCAAACCACUCAUUUGAAACUAACGCUUUGUAUUUUUUUUAUAAAAUAAAAUAAAUCCUAACACUGAUGUGGACUAAAAUGUUUUUCAUAUAAAAUAUGAGGAUCAAAAAACUUUCAUGAACAUUUAAAAUAUGAUGUGGACUAACAUUUUUUUUUUGUUAAAAUUAGUUCGGUUUGUACUUUCUAGAUCGUUUUGAUGUGCUGAUAUCAAAAAUAAUUUUUAAAAAAUAAAAAAAACAUUAUUGGCAUACUUUUCGGCACGAAAAGCUAUUUGAAAAACAACAACUACCACACUUCCAAACACCCUCACUUAGUAUAAAAAAGAAAUCAUCACGUCGUUAUUUUCCACUCAGUAUAAAAAAGAAAUCACACGCCUUAGAGGAUAAAUAAGCAAUGCGAAAGUUAAAUAAAUUUAUGAAUUACCAGCAUAAUUCACACUAAUUCCCCUCUCUAACUUGCACCUCAUCAAUUUUUAUUCCUUUACUCUCGAACGAAAAUAAUAAUAUUUAAGUUAUUAAACCCAACUCGAAUUAUAAUUCAAGUAGGGGGUUAACAUAAAUCAAUACAAAGUGAUAUGACUUUAGGAGUUUUUUCAAAAAAACAAAUUAAAAUGAUGUGAACUUUUUUAAAUUAAAUUGAGUUUUAAUUGAUCAAAUAAGUUGGAUUACACCAGGUCAAAUUCUAUCCGAUUUAAUUUAAAAUUCAAUCUAAACUCUUAACUUACCUUCAGUCGGGUUUAAUAACAUAUUGACGUAACUUUAGACAAGUUAAGACAUGUUAUUUGUAUAAUCAGACCAAAUUCUCAAUCUUUAUUUAUCAUAAUAACGAUCCAACCCAUUAAUUUUAAAUGGGCCUAUAAAAACUCUAACUUGCCAUAAAAUCAGCAAUUUUACAUCCUAUUUUAUAAAAGACACUCCAACAUAAUUAAUUAAAAUAGUAUUUGAUAUUGUGGUAAUAAUUAUUUUUUAAAGUAUUUUUUAUUUAAAAAUAUAUUUAAAUAAUUUUUAAUUUUUUAAUUUUAAAAAUUAAUAUUUGACAUUACAUAUUAAAACAAUCUAAAAACAUAAUUUUUAAAAAAAGUUAUUAUUAUUUAAGAAAAACUGUAUCACCAUACAAACAAAUCCAAAAACACAAUUUUUUUAAAACAAUUAUUAUUCUUUUAAAAAAAAUUGUAUCACCAUAAAAACAAAUAAUUUCUAAGAGUGACAGUGAGCAACAGAAAUAAACCAUGGCAGAAACUAAAAAUACCUUUAACGGAAACUGUGCUUCGAUUCACAACGUUUUCAUCCUUGACCAAUGCUUGACAGAGUAGACGACGGGUCAGAACAGAGCUACCAGUCCUGCAUUUCUCGAAGGAUAGUUUUGGAAAUGCUCUAAGACCGUGGCCAUUAUGCUGUGUAUGUUUGAUAAUGCAGUGAAUAUAAUUUUAUAAAAAUAUUUUUCAAUUAAUAAAAUAUUUCUUAAAGAAAUUUUCAAUAAUUUUGUUAAGAAAUUUGCGUGGCCAGACAUUUUAAAGAAUGAUGCUAAAUUUGGGGUUACAUAGGCAGCUGCUGGCUCCUCUUGUAUCUUUUGGGUUAAAGGCAUCGUUUGUUUCCUGCCGUUGUCUAUUCUCCGGUCGUAGAAGCUGACUGCAAUCCUCCGACUCUGUUCUCAUAGUCAGAUGCUUCCUCUGUUUUCUCCUGGCAUUAAAAUUACAGCUCACCCUCAAAUCUUAUUGCCUCUGGUCAUUUUCUUGAAUGGUGCUUGGUGUUGUCUUCUAGCGUUUGCAGUAUCGUAAUUUGCUGGAGUUUUUGUAGUAUUUGAAUUGUGGGUGAUUGAGCUGCAGAAUUUGUGCAAUUGAAUUGAAUUUGUGCUAUGGGUUAUCACGCGAUAUCAUCAUUCAUCAACAAUUAAUUGAAUGGGUUUCUACAUUAAAUAUUUUUAGUUUCUUAAUCAAUAAUUGAAGUUUUUAAUUGGAAGUGAAAUUAUUCUUAGAGAAUAAUAUAAUUAAACUAAAUCUUGGUUAAUUGAUUGCUAGCAAAGGUGUAAAUUUACAUGGCUUGAAAAUGAAGCUUCUCUUCCACUUAAUUUUAUCAAAUAAUAUAAUUUUGAAAUAAAUUAUUUAUAGUAGUUUUGAGUGAUAUAAAUCAAAUAGGAAUUAAAACAUGUUAAAACAUUUAAUUUUGUUAUACCUAGGUCCCUUUAUAUUACUAACAACAAUAUUAUGUAUCGUGUUUAUAAAUUCCAAACCACUCAUUUGAAACUAAAGCUGUGUAUGCUUUUUAUAAAAUAAAAUAAAUCCUAACCUUCAUAUGAGGAUUAAAAAACAUUCAUGAAAAUAUAUGAAAAGCUAUUUUUGUCUCUAUGGGCUAGGUACGAUGUAUUCAGGUAUGGAUAUGGGUCUGGGCUUAGGAUGAUAGAUAUGGGUCCAGUAGGAGCACGAUAUUUUUUAAUGGUAAGGAAUGAGCUAUGCCUACCAGGCUGGUUACUCGGUCCAUUCACCUCUCUACCUGAGGCUUGUAUAGUUUAUUGAAAAAAACAAACUUAUAUCGUUUCUUUUAGAAUUCAUUUCUUUAUAAAGCAUGACAAUGUAACCAAAUUUGCAUUAUCUAUAUAAAAUAAAAGAAAAUAUAUAUUUUCACAAAUUCUACCAUAUUGCUCGACCAAAAUAUUUAUUUUUUGUUUCUAUACAUAUUAUAAUUAGUUACAAAUAUAACACCCAAUUUAAUAAAAUCAUAUGAGCAAAAUUCCAGGACUUUCCAUGGACAAAACCCAAUUUAAUAUAUAUAUAUAUAUAUAUAUAUAUAUAUAUAUUUCUCUACAUAUUCAAUAUAUUCAUCUAAAUGUAUUUAUCUGAAUGCUAUAUUAUCUUAUAAUUUAACUGGGACCAAAGAUAAAUGAUAACAUUUAUUUAAAUGCUAUUUAUGAUUGACACACAAAACCCUGUUUUCAUAGUUAAUUGAAGGAUAAUAAAUGGAAGAAUGACAAAUUGCCAGGUGGAAAGUUAUACCUCAUCACAACAAAUACUUUCCAGCCAAUUAAUUAAUGGCGGUUACAACUAAUUACAACAAAUACUCUUCACUUCUUCUCUAUAGUUAUGUUAAUGGUAAGAAAAGGUUGGAUAUUAGAAUUUUGAAAAAUAAAAUAAAAGAUAAGUGAUGUUCAGAUUAGAACUUGAUAUUUGAUAUAAAAUAUAUAUUUUUUAAUUAAACUUUAAUAACAAGUCAUAAAUCAACUCAAAAAUAGUAAAUAUUGUAAAAAAAAAAUGGUAAUAUUAUACACAAAAAAAGAGACUCAUGAAAUGACAUAAAAAAUAGAAUUUUUGUAUAUUUUUAUCUAUUCAUGAACUUGAACAUGAUUUAUAUUUAUAUAAUCAUACAUUUUAAUUGGAAAAUAAUCAAUAAAGGAAGAAAGAAUCGACUUUAAACAAAUAAAAAGAAAAUAGAAGAUGAAAUAUAAAUCACGUAAGAAUUAAGUCUUCUCGAAGACUAGCUUAAGAGUAAGAAAGAGGCAAAAUCUAUAGGAAUUUAAUUAAUAAAUGUUUCAUGCGUGUUGUUUCGAAUUGUAUAAAUAUAAAGAAAAUACAUUUAUACAUAUUAUAUUAUAAUGAAUAUAUUUUUCUGUGCAAAAUUGUUAUUAUUUUUUCAAAUCAAACCCCCGGUUUGAGUAUUGAGCAUAAAAAGAAUUUGGAUUGUUGAAUCAUUUAAACAAUUAGUGGAUCGCCAAUGAAUCAUUUUAUUAAAAUGAUAUUUUGCUUUUUUAUAAAAAAAUUUAUUAAUAUUGAUUUAACUAAGUUUGUAUCAGAUUUUACCAAAUCAAAUAAAUCAUUACAAAUUCAAUUGAGUAAUUAAGAUUUUAUCUUAUCAAUGUUUUUUUCUAAUUCAAUUUUAAACCUGGUUAAUGCCAGGAUCUGGAGGAUGUGCUUCCUAUAUCAAAUCACCAUGCAGGGAAGAGUUUAAACAUUUUUCAUUUUUCCUAUAUCAAAAAAUUACAUUUCUUAGCAAAACACACGAGUUAUAUAUAUAUAUUUAAACAAAUUACAAAUAAUCUAAUCAAUUGAUUAAAGUUGUGACACCUUAUAGUACGUAGACGACUAUAUAAUACUAUAAGAUAUUUAACAAUAUUUAUUUUUAUGAAGAGUAAUAUGUUGCUUGUCUAUGUAAUUUCUCUUUUAAAUUGGGUUUAAUUUCAAAAUCAACGUGUAACUUUGUACGUAGGGGCAUGUCAUGGGCAGUGUUGGACCAAAUUCUCAAUCUUUAUUCAUAGAGGUGGAUCAUGAUCGAGAUUCGAGCCUAUUAAUUUUAAAUGGAUCUACAAAACCUCUAUUCGGCCAUAAAAAAUAAAAUCUCAGGUGCCCAUCAAUGAUAGGAUCUAUUUUGUAAAAGACAUUUCAACAGUAUUAAAAUAAUGUUUAGUAACGUGAUAUCUGAUAUUUUUAAAAAUAUUUUUUUAUUUAAAUUAUAUAUUUUUAAAAUUUAUAUUUAAUAUUAUUAUAUUAAAAUAAUAUAAAAAUAUAAAAAUAUAUUUUUAAAAAAAAUCUUGGUGUCAAAGUGAGUGAAUAAAAAAAAUAAAUCAUGGCAGAAACCACGAACACCUUUAACAGCAAUGUCGUUUCAGUUUGACAGAGUUGUGUUAAAAAAAAAAUUCCUUCAAUUUGUAUUGACUUUUUAAUGUUUUAAGUUUACAGUGCUCCUAUAUAUAAACAGAGAAGAUGUUCUUAAAAACUAUGGAUUCCUGCUAUAAACAGGACUUAUACAAAUGUGGAAUAAAUCAAUUACUAAACUAUGGAAUAGGACUUAUACAACUGUGGGAUAAAUCAAUUACCAAACUUUUUCUUACAAACUCUCAACUAAAUCACUUUGUAAUUAUACUAACACUUUGAGUCAAGUUAGUGCAAAGAUAUCUUACCCAACUUGUCAAGGGAGCUCUGAAAGUUUUUGCUGAAGACAACUUUUGUAAAGAUAUUCGUGAGCUGAUUCUUUGAUUUGACAAAUGAAAAGUUAAUCACUUAUUAUUUAAGAUUUUGUUUAAUAAAAUGUUUGUCUAUUUCAAUAUGUUUCGUGUGAUCAUGUUAAAUUGGGUUAUAAAAUAUUUUAAUGGCAGCUUAAUUAUCACAGUAUAGGUUCGUUCUUGAUUUGGGAGCAAAACCAAUUUCUGAUAAUAAUCUUCUGAGCUAAAGCAGUUUACGUAGUCCUUUUACCGUCCCUUGAAACUCAACCUCUGUGCUUGACAAGGUAGCUACUUUUUAUUUCUUGCUUCUCCAUGUGACUAAAUUGCCACCAAUAAACGUGAAGUAUGCUCAUUAAUCUCAUGCAUAUUUUGAUUAUUUUGUUGAAUAUUUUAAUCAGGUUUAUGAUAUGGAUUCUUAUAAUAAAAUUUUCAUUUAAUUUUUUUAUUUUCAUGGGGGGUUUUAAUGUAGGGAACAUAGGAAGUGUAAAGGUGGCAACUUUUUUGCUUUAUUUUAUACCGUAUUUAAAGCCAGUGCCUUUGAGGUUUUAUGGCAGCCCAUCAACAAUAUUCUUAGUAGGAUCUUAUCAUUUAUGGUACUAGCCUGUUGGGCCUCCCUUUUCAUUAUUUUAAGCGUAGUUGCCACCCAUCUUUCUGUGGCUCCAUGUUCAUUCUCCAAACCAUUCAUAUAGGUAUCUUAAAUAGUGUAGCUGGAGCUUUACUGGGUAUGCUUUUUAAUAUAUUUUUAAGUAAAAUAUAUUUUUAAAAAUAUUUAAAAAACAAACAUUACUGUACUUUCAAAAACAUAAUCCUCUUGUAUCUGACGCUUUAAAUUCCAACAAUGAGUUACUGAUUAGAUAAUAUCUACAUUCAAUUAAAAAUAUAAUUUCUUGACAGCGAAAUAAAGAAAAAAGUAGCAACCCUGUAAUAUCUAGGUAAUUUCUAUGCUCUUUAAAUUAGGCCUCUAAACUGAGACUGUAAUGAGCCCAUGACAGAGGAAGACAUGAAAGUGUAAUUUCAGAAGACCAUUAUUCAUAUAACAAAUUUAGUAAAUUUAGUAAACUCGUAAAGUUAAACCGAUUUUACUAAUUCUGUACUAGUUAGAUUUGAUUUUAUUAAUUUUAAAUUUUUAGUUAGAUUUAGUAUGUUAAAUAUAUAUUAACUUAAAUUUUACUAAUAACUCAUAAUUUUAACAACCUUGCUUGUAAUAGCUCUUGUGGUGGUUGAUGUUUAAAAAAGAUAAUUGAGAAAUUAUUUUCACUCGUGACUUUUUUGAUUUAAAUAAGUAUUGAAUUAAAAAUAUUUAAUUAAAAUUAUUGUUUUAAUUUAAUUACCACAAAAGAUACUGGUGAAGGUGGAGAGGAUGCAAAAGAUGAUUGGGUAUCCUAUUAAUCGUCAAAACAUCAACUAUUGUGGUCAAUUCUGCUGACUGCUGAGACUAAAAGCCAACCACUUGAAUAAUGGGCAUUAGCUGUUUAGCACUCCUUGGUAAACACUUCAGGCUCCUUUCCCGCCCCUUUCCUCGCUGGUUCCUUAAUAGCUUCAAGGGGUGCGAGCGCCUCGUUCGAGGAUUGAGCAUAAAGGACUAAAAGAGUUCAAUAAAUACUAAAAGACAUAAAGUGAAGUUUUUAUAAUAUUCAUAGCAAUGGUCAUCAGCUAAUUUAUAAUUUAUUUAUCUACUUUAUCAAUGAAAUAAAAGUGAUAAAAGAAAAGGAGAGAAGAAAUAAAGUGAAGUCUUCUUCUGCAUUAUUAGCACAUCACGUGAAAAUAAAGAAUGGCAUAUAAUAAAAGUUAUUCCAAUCAAACCUCCUUUUUCAACCGAUGGGGUCUCUUGUCAAAUAAAGCAAGGACAGACCGAGUAAGAUGUGGGACCUAACUGCACUUUCCUGGCACGCGUAGUUCACGCAUACACAAGCACAUUCAGAAUAGUAUUCAAUUUAAAAACACAAAAAAAAAAUAAAGGAAUAAAAGAAGGAAAAGUGAUCAAAGAAGAAGAGAGAAGAAAUAAAGUGAAGUCUUCUUCUGCAUUAUUAGCACAUCACGUGAAAAGAAAGAUACAAACAAGAUUACUCCAUUUUCCAGUCACUUUUUCAACCGAUGGGGCUUCUUGGCAAAUAAAGCAAGGACAGACCGAGUUGAUGCGCUACGUAACUCCUUUUUCCUGGCCCGCGCAAUUCACGCAUACACAAACACAUCCAGAAUAAUAUUCAUAAAAUUAAUUAACAUCCCGUAAAAAUAUACUUUAAUUUAGAAAAGAUUUUAAAAUGUUAUUUUUCAAAUUAAUAAUAACAAAAUUUUAUAUUAAAUUGGUUCGCUUAAGUUAACCUAUUAGAUUUAUAAUUCAGGUUAUGAAAUUAUAAUACCUAGUUCACAAAUAACCAAAUAUGGUGAAGUUUUUCCAAUCAAACCCUUUUUUUUUUUUAAGAUGUAAUUUCUAGAAAAAUAAAUCAAAGACAAACAGAGUAAAAUUUCAAAAAAUAGAGAAAGAUGGAAAAUCCCACCAAUAUUUAACCCACUUAAAUUGAGUCCAAAUCAUAAAAGCAUCUACAAAGAGUGUGUUAAAUGAAAAGUUAAAAAUUAAAAAAUAUAUAAUUUUGACUCUUUCAUGUUUAUUUUACACACUUCAAAAAAAUAUUAAAUAAAAUAUUAAAAUAUUUUUUUUUCUUAUAAAUACUAUUUCUAAAUAUCUAUCAAAAAAACCAAUACUAAAAAAAUAGAGUCAUCAAAAAAUAAACCAAUUAAAUAUAAUUAUAUGAAAAAAUAUAUUUUAAAUAGUGCAGCCUGAGCUUAAUGGUUAAAAUAAUUUUAUAUUUUUUAUAAUUGUUAACAUCAACACAUUAAAAUCAUUAAAAAUAUUAAAAAAUCAAUAAUUUAAUAUAUUUUUAAAUAAAAUAUAUUUUUUAAAAAAACAUAUAAAUUACUACUAUUAUUUCAAACACACAAUCCUAUUCCAUCUUAAAAUCUGAGCUAUUAGGAUAGUAAAGUUAAUUCGUUAAAUUUACAAUUGUGGUGGUGGGAUAUUAAAAAAAAUCUUAUAUUAAAAUUAAAAAUUUUAAAAAUUCUUGAAUAAAAAAACAACAAAACAAUUAUUCAGGUAAUUGUAUAAAAUAUAAUAAUAUAAUGUAUAAUUUAUAAUUGAUUUAUUUACCUUAUCAGUCUUCUGCUGCAUGAUCACAUCACGUGAAAAGCUUGGCAUUUAGUGAUGUUUUUCCAAUCAAACCUCCUUUUUUCAAAGAUGGAAUCUCGAGGUAAAUAAAUCAAAGACAAAACCGAGUAAAAUGGAGUCCAGAGCAUAAAAGAAUCUCCAAUGAAGCUGCUAAAUGAAUAACUAAAAAUAAUAAUAAAAAAAAAAUUGUUUUUGUUUGUUUUUUAUAUUUCAAGAAGAAAAUCAAAUAAAUCGUUAAAAUAUUUUUUUUUCACAUAAAUAUUAUUUUUAUAUAUCUCUCAAAAAAAUCAAAAUUAAUAAAAUAAAACCAACAAAAAAAAGCCAAUUAAAUCUAGGUAUCUAGAAAAAAAUAACUUUAAAAUCAUUAAAAAAAAAAAAUGUUUAUUUAUUUCACUUUAUCUCGAAAAACAGUAACUUUAAAAUCAUUAAAAAAAAUAAAAUGUUUAUUUAUUUCACUUUAAUAGAAUUGGCUUUUCAAUGUAUUUUUUCUAUUGGAAUAUAUAUUGUAAAAAAAAUAUAUUUAUAUUAUUUAAAAUACUAUUUUAUUAGUUUAUUUUUUUAAAAUAAUAUUUUUUAUUAAAGAUACUCCAACAAGGGCCGAGAGAGCAAAGGCUUUUACGAGUUCUGUGUUCCGUAUACUUCUCAAGGGGAAAAAAAUAAUGUUUUGUUAGAGAUUUGUUUUUGAUAGAAUUGUUAGCGAUCUUAGCCGAUGCAUCUGGAUUAUAAUUUUUAGCAUUUAUACUAUUUUAUAGCGCUAAUAUCUUAAAAAAACUUAUUUUCUAGCUUUUUUUUCAUGGUAUAAUAAAAUAUUAAAAAAUAUUUUUCAACUCAUUAUCCUUAAUACAAUUAAAUUUCAUAGAAUAGUCUAUUUUUUAGAAAUAUAGUUUACUAUGAGAUUUAUUGGAUAAAAGAAAUUCACUUUGUAACAAUGCACUAGAAACUAAAAAAAAAUAAGCUAAUGAUCAUUUAAAAAUAUAGUAUAUUGGAAUCAUCUUGCUGAAUAGGUGAGUUUGGGAGUUUGGUUGCUUAACAGGCGAGUGAGGGUUAAAUGUAUCCAAUUAAAUAAUAUCUACAUUCAAUUAAAACUUAUGGUACAAUUACUUGACAGCAAAAUAAAGAAAAGCAGGAACCCUGUAAUAUCUAGGAAAUUUCUAUGCUCUUUGAAUUAGGUGCCCAAACUAAGGCUAUAAUGAGCCCUGAAUUUACACAGAAGAAAUUUCAUGGGAAAUGGGUUGAUGUCAGAGGCAGACACGGAAACGUAAUUUCAGAAGACUAUGACUCAAAUCAGUGGCUGAAAUCCAAUCACUCAAGGGAUGGUGACACGUUGUCUUGAGUGGGAGACAACUGGUCUUCAGUACAAAGAGAAACAACGUUUUUUUUUUAUUAUUAUUAUUAUUAUUAAAAGCGAGUGUACGAGUUACUUCCAUGUUUUUUAAUUAAUUUUAAAAUUAAUAAUUAUAUAAAUUUUUAAUAAUUAUAAAAAAGUUUAAAUUCAUGAAAAGAUUUGAAUUCAUAAUUAUUAAAAUACAAAUAUAUUUUCCUGAGUGUCUUUGCUCUCGUGACAGCUCACGAUGGUGGGGGGUUUAAAAAAAAAUUUAAAAAAUAUUUUUACUUGUGAUUUAUUUAAUUUAAAUAAGUAUUUAAUUAUAAUUAUAAUUAACGAUAUAUUGUAACUAAAAUUACUAUAAAAAAGAACAUAGUGAAGGUGGAGAGGAUGAGAAUAAUGAUUGGAUAUCUUAAUAAUUGUAAAAAGAAAGUAUUUUUUUAUGGUGAAGUUAUUUGUAUAUGAGAAAAGACUGAGUUUUGUAGCUCAGAAAAAAUAAACAUGUUGAUAUUGCUUUUUAAUAACCCAUGAAUGGACCGUAAAUUGCAACGGGUUCACAAACACAAACAUGUGCUUCACAUGUAACCAAACUUAUUGUUAUCUGCAUUAAAAGCAAAAGAUGCUAAAAACACACACAUUUGAUCGUUGAAGAUGUUUUUAAAUUGUUUUCUUAAUUAUUUUUCAUUUAAAAAAAUAUGAAUCAAAGAAGUUUAAUAAUUAUAAUUAUUAAAUAUUUUGAAAUAAAAUGAUCCAUCUAUAUUAAAAAAAAACAUCAUUCCCACGUGUGGAAGAUAAAAUUAAUCAACCUAAUCUUAUUGGAUUGCAUUUUAUUAAAUCAAACCAUCAGUAUCUUUAAUGCAGGAUAUUUUUGUUUUUCCAAUUCAAGUAUACUUUUUAAUAUAAUAAAUUUUUUUAACCUAUUUUUUUAUUAUUAUUUUAGUAUCAUUUUGUUAUUUCUAAUAGUUUGUGGUUACCAGUUUAGUCCUGAAUUCAUUAUUAGAACCAUCAAUUUUAAAAAUCAAUGUAAGUUGAUUUUUAUUAUUUUUUAUUUUUUAAAAUUAAUUUAUUAAAAAAAAAUUCCAUGAUUUCUUUUUAAGAGACUAACCCUUCAUCGACAAACACUAAUGUACCCUGAAAAACAUAAUCUUAUUACAUCUGACGCUUUAAAUUCCAACAAGGAGCACCUACACAUCGAAAUAAAGAAAAGUACUGAGUGCCUUGGCGGUGGGAGGAGCUCUGCUCCUGAGUUCGAGUGUUUACAUGUAUAUCUAUCAUUCUCGUGGUGUUUUAUAUAUCUAUUGGGUUUAUAAAGUAUUCAGUGGGAUUAGUUGUGGUGCGCGCAAACUGACCCGAACAUCCAAAUAAAUAAAUAAAUAAAGUAGAAACCCUGCAUGUGGGAAAUUUUUGUUAGGCCUCCAAUCUGAGGCUGUAACGAGCCCUGGAUCUACACACAAGAAAUUUCAUGGGAAAUGGGUUGAUGUCAUAGGGAGACAAGGAAGCGUACUUUCAAAAGACCAUGAGACAAAUCAACGGCUGAAAUCCAAUCACUCAAGGGAUGGUGACAUGUUACCAUGAGUGGGAGACUGCUAGUCUCCAUCUAAAUGUUUAAAGAUGACUGGGUAUCUUAGUAAUUGUAUAACAAUUGAUUUUUUUUGCUGAAGUUGUCGGUGUGGAUGAGAAAAUACUGAGUUUGUAGCUUAGUAAAAACAUGUUGAUGUUGAUGUUACUUUUUAUUAGCUCAUGGUUGGCCCGUAAAUUAUAAUGGGUCCCACAAUCACAAACCUAUGAUUCACAUGUAAUUUAUGUUUUACAACUUAUUUUUAAAAUUAUUUUUUAUAUAUAUUUUUAUACCAUUUUUAUUUUAAAAAUUUUAAGUUUAAAAAAUAUUAUUUUAAUAUAUUUUUAAAUAAAAAAUACUUAAAAAAAAAAUUAAUAUCAGACACAGUGAAUGUUUUAUAAAAUUUUACAAUCGCUUUUACAUUUUGUUUAGAUCACAUUUGAAAAUGCGGUACACUACAAUAAAGUCCGUUAUAUGAUUAAGGGUAUGUUUGGUAUUGCGGUUGCUGUUGUGAUUGUAAUUAUGGUUUUAAAAAAAAUUGUUUUAUAAAAAGUAAUUUUAGUUGAGGUUGGUUUGAAAAAAUAUAUGUUUGGUUAAAACUGUAGUUGAAAUUGAGGUUGAACAAAAAAUAGUUUAAUGUGUUUGGUUAAAAAAAUGUUUUUCAAAUUGAUGUUAUAAAAUCAUUAAUAUAUAUAUAUACUAAUAUUAAUUAUUUUUAAUUUAAAUAUUGUAGAUUUAACUACUGUUAUUACAUCAUGAAAUAAAUAAUAUUAAUAUCAAAUAUUUUUUAUUAUUAGAUUAAAAUAUAUGUAAUCUCAUUACAUAUGAAAUCUAUCAAACAAGGACUAUAUUUUUCAUGGUUUCUUAAGCGUGCAACAACAAAAACUGAUUUUUUAAAUUUAUAUAGUGUUAUUAAAUAAUAAAGAUUGUGAUAUAUUUAUUAUUGAAAUUGCGAUCAAAUUUCAUAAAUGCUACGUCAUCAUGCGAUAUCUUUCUAAUUUAUAUAGUGUUAUUAAAUAAUAUUAAAUACUAGUUUUUCGAGUAAAACAAUUUAAAAAAAUAUAUAUAAUUUCACUACGUACAAAAGUUAUUCGACAAAAACUACAGUUUUCAUGAUUUUUUGAGCAUGUAAUAAAAUUAGGUAAAAUAUUAUCACGAAUAAAAUUGAGAUUACAGUACGAGUAAAUUUAAUUCACCUUAAACUAAUUUUUUUAAAAAAAAUAUCGUUUACUAUUAACUGCACUGGUUUUUUAGGGGGGAAAAUAAACUUUGCUCACCGGUUUUUUUUUUUAAAAAAAUAAAUAAAUAAACUUUUCUUACAGAUUUUUUCUUUUUUUAAAAAAAGAAGACAUGGUGACAAUGGAGCCAUGCUCCACUGUUAAGUGGUUGUUACCCACGAGAAGCAGUAAAAAUAACGUGGACCCUAUCAAGCAAAAUCAAUCUUGCUUGAUUACCAAACAUUAAAAUAUGUGGCUGCGAGUAAACUCGCCACACUACCAAACAACAUCUAAAGUCUUUAAUUGUCUUGCAUUUAUCUUUAAAACUGCUAUAAGAAUUAAUUAAUUGUGUCAAUUCAAUUCUUUCGAUUGACAUUGAUGCCAAACAUGUUAAUUCAUGAUAUAAUUAAGCAAUUCAAUACAAAUUUACUAAUAUAAUUUAUUUCGGCUUAAACCUUUGAAUAAAGCAAAAUGCAGAGGUUGUGAAAGUGAAAUACCUUAAUAAUUUUUAUGCUUUACAACUCUAGGAGCCACACAAAAUAUAAUGCGUUUGUUACUAUUUAUUUGUUAAAAAGUAUUUUUUUUAUUAAAAAAUGAUUUUUUAAAAAAUAAAUUGAAAAAUAUUUUUUAAUAUUUGAUUAUUUUAUAUAAAACAAGCCAAAAAAUAUUUUUUUAAUUUUCUUCUCAAAUUUAUUAAAAGAAUAAGAAACAAAUAUUUCAAAUAAAAAUAUUGAAGGAAGAUGAAAUUAAAAAAUAUAUAUAUUUUUAUAAAUUAUUUUAAAUAAAAUAAAUAAUAAUUAGAAGAAUAAGAAACAAAUGAAAAAUUAAAAAAUUAAAAAAAAAUAAAACAGAAAUAAAUAAUAAUCAAAAUAAAAAAUUAAUACAAAAAUAAUAUUAAACCAAUAAUUUAAUUUAAAAAAAAACAAAAUAUAAUUUAUAAUUUAUAAUUUAUUUAUUUGCUUUAUCAAUGAAAAGUGAUGGUAGGAGGGAGAGAGAGAGGAAAUAAAGUGAAGUCUUCUGCUGCCUGAUCACAUCACGUGAAGAGCUUGGCAUUUAGUGAAGUUUUUCCGAUCAAACCCACUUUUUUCAAAGAUGGAAUUUAUUGGAAAAUAAAUGAAAGACAAACCGAGUAAAAUGGAGUCCAGAGCAUACAAGAGCCGAGAUUGAAACAGGAAAUGCAAGAAAAAGAAGAUGGGCCCUUGUUUUCUCUUUUUACGGCCGGCGACCGGAUAUAAAAAGGGAGGAGAUGAAGCUUUCAAAUUAUUUUCAAUUUUGCGGUCACUUAUUGUGUCCAUGUCAUUUUGUGUAAUUGCCCAGCUACCGGUACUAUUUUAACACUGUUAAAAGUCUAAAUCAUCAAUAUUUCCCCAAUUUAUCUCUAAAAAAAAUUCACUUCAAUUAAUAGCAUUUUUUUAUUAUUUCUUAUGUCAAUGUUUACCUCUUUUUGAUAAACUCGUAUAUUUUUGUACCAGAGGUCUAAAAUUAUUCUGUCCACUUAUUACUUAUUUAAAUUUAUUAGAAUGUUUUAAAUAACUUUUUUAAAUUUUAAUCCCAGAGUUUACAUGCAUAAUACAUGAGUUAUAUAAAUUAUGAUUCAAAAUAUUGUUAUAACUAAAUUAAAAGAAAAAUUCAGAGUUAAUUUCUUGAAUAUUAAGUUUUCUGAUUUUUCUAUAUAAUUAAUUUUUUAAGUUGAUUUGAUUAGUAUUAUUAUACUUUUCUCAUUCUCGAUAAAAGAAAAAAGAAAAAACCAGAAGAGUAUUUUCUUUCUAUUGAAAAUAUUUGUGGUUAGAAGAAAGUAAUUUUCACUGGAGUGUCGUUUUGGGAUGCAACAUGAACUUGACCUGUCUAAUUUGUACGGCAUGAGAAGAUGUUGCUUUACAUGGCUUCCUCCUUAAAAAAAUUCCAUCACAUUUGAGAAUUUUGUUAUAAAAAAGAUAUCUCUUUUAAAGAAGAAAAGUGAUACCUAAAAUUUAUAAAUGAUCUAAACUCUUAAUUUUUAAUCGAUGUAAAAUGUUAGAGUAUCAUGUUCCUGAAAAAAUCUUUCUAAGUGUAUAAUAUGUUGCAUUUGGGGCAAAAUUAAUAGUUUUGAAUGUUUUUAUUACUGAAACUUUUUUUUUUCUCAACCUCUUUUUCUCUCUCUUCUUGUCAAAUACAAAAGGUUUUUUUUUUAAUUUUUUAAAUAAUUUUAUUUUUAUUUAUUUUAUUUUUAUCUUUUGUAGAUUUGUUUUUUUAUUUAUUUUGUUUUUUAUCGUUUGAUUUUAUUUAUUUUUUUAUUAAACAUUAACUUUAUUUUUAUUUAUUAUUUUUUUAAUUAAACAUCCUUUUUAAUUUAUCUCUUAAUAUUUAAUUUUAAUAUCAAAUUUAAUUAGUCCUAUUUUAUCUUACACUUUAAAUUCCUACAAGUACCCGAUCAAACAAUAUCUGCAUUCAAUUAAAACUUAUGGUACAAUUACCUCAUAGCGAAAAAAAAAAAAAAGUAGAGACCAACUAAGAAAUUUAUGUGCUGUUCCCAGCUAUGUUGCUGACAUUGGACAAGAGAGACUUCUUCAGCCACCGAUAAAAUUAUUUUUGUUGACUUUUUGUGCAGUUUGUCACUUUGCUUCGAUCUUUCUCUCUUUGCACCACAAACACUUGGACAUGGUAGAUACCAAGCACGGUUUUGCUGUCAAUGUACGAUACCAUAUUUGACAAUAUCUUUUUUUUUCUUUUUUCUUUUUUAUGAAGAGUAGUAUGUUGGUUAUCUAUGUAUGUUUUUUAAAAAAUCACAUAUAUAUUUAUCUAAAAUUAUUGAUAUUUAAAAAAUUACAUUAUUUUUUUAAUAAUUCGUUCCGCUGUUCUUUUAGAAUUAAGCGAAUAUUAUGCAAAGCUUCAAGUUUUGUGUAAUUGUUUUUAAUACAAGAGAGUUUAACCAUUUUAAAAUGUUUAAUGAGUUAUUUAAAAUAUUGAAAGUAAUGUACAAUAACUAAUUUAUAAUUUUAUCAUUGCUCUUGCUUUAUUAUAGGUCAAGUCAAGAUUUUCUUAAAAAUAAAAAAUUAUUUAAAUUGUGAAUGUUUUAAUUUAUUCUGGUAAAACAAAUUUAAAUUGUGUGGUGAUUUAACUUGAUUGAAUUUGUAGUUUAAAAAACAAUCUAGAUAACCAGUAAAAAUAUAAUUUAACUCGUAAAAAAUUUCAAGAUUACAUAUAUUUUUUUAAUAUUAAGAUAACAACAAAUUAAUUGAUUUGGGUCAACUCAAUUUAACUUAUUAAAUUCAUAACCCGAGUUAUGAGAUUAUGAUAACCAUGUAGAAAAUAAAUUAUUAAGUCUAAUUCUCAACUACCAAAUAUUAAAAGAUAAAAUUAAAAUAAAUAAAUAAACCAUGUGGAGAUUGAUUCGAUGUGACUUAAUUGAUUUAGCUUGUUCAAAAACAACCCGGAUAAUCAGUAAAAAUAUAAUCUGACUUAGAAAAAAAUUCAAGAUGAUACUUUUUUUCCAAUACAAAGAUAAUAAAGUAAUAGAUUGAAUUGGGUUAACCAGAGUUAACUUGUUAAAUUUUUUAUCUGGGUAUAAGACUGUGAAAUCUAAUUCCUAUUCAACUAAAUAUUUAAUGGUAUAAUUGAAAAAUAAAAUCAAUUAAAAAAUGAUCUAAAAAUAUGAACAUAAUUAACAUGUCAAGUUCAUAACCUAUGUUAUAAUAAAGAUACAAUCUUAUAGAAAAAAAAAAUCAAAAUAAAUUAUGAAGUUCAAUCUUAAAUAACCAAAUUUUAAAAGAUAAAUUUUUUUAAAAAGAACGUAAAAAUGACCCGAGUAAAUCCACCAAACUCAUAACUCGUUAUGAGAUCGAGAUAAUCUUAUAUAAAAAAAAAUUACAUGAUUUAACUCGUCAAAUCUAUGACUUUGGUAACAAGACCAAGACAACCUCUUAAAGAGUAAAUAAAAAUAAAUUAAAAGUGCAAUCCCUAAUUGACCAUGUCAAACUCGAUGUGAAUGAUGCAAUUUCUAAAAAUUUAAAUUAAAAAAUAACAUAAAAAAUAAUUUAGACCAACCCGUCAAGCAUCAUUAUUAGAUUACGAGGCUAGGAUAACAUAAUAAAAAUAAAAUCAAAACAAACCACAAAGUCUAAAUUCUAAUAAAAUAUAUUAUUAAAUAAUAAAAUUGAAGAAAAAAAAUUAAUUAAAAGAAAUUCGAGUCAAUUAGGCUAACUUGCUAAGCCUGUGAGUUAGGUUAUAAAACAAAAAUAACCCAAUAAAAAGUAAUUUCACUAUUGAAGGACUCGUGAUCUACGUCAUGAAAUCAACAUAACCUCUUACAAACAAAAUAAAAAAAAAACAACUCAAUUUAAUUUGGAUUAAAAUGUCAAAACCUCCACCUCUAAUCAUAAAACUAGGAUAAUUAUAUAGAAAAUAAUUUGAAAUAGAUUAUGAAAUUCCAUUCCCAACUGACAUUAUAUCAAAUGAUAAAGUUAGAAAAAAAAUUCAAUUAAAAAAAUAUAAAAUAUAACCCGAGUCAAUUUAGGCUAAUAUGUUAAGUAUUAUUUCCAAUUUAUGAGGUUAGAAUAAUCUAAUACAAAACAAAUAAAACAAAAUAUGAAACUUAAUUUUUAAUUAAAAGAUAAAAUUGUAAAAAAAAUUUAAUUAAAAAAAAUCAAGUUAAGUGAGUGAAUCCAUUAAAUCUACAAUUUUUAUUAUAAAAGUGAGACAACUUAAUAAAAAUAAAUUAAUAUUAAAAUAAAAAACAUUCAAUAAAAAAAACACUCAUUCAGAUAAUUGUAUAAAACAUAAUAAUAUAAAGUAUAAUUUAUGAUUUAUUUAUUUAUUUUAGCAUUUAGUGAAGUCUUUCCAAUCAAACCCCUUUUUUUUUUUUAUAAUUUAUAAAAAAUAAAAAUAUUUUAUUUUAAUAAAUGUUUAAAUAAAAAACAAUAAGAGACAACCGUGACCACUUAAAUGGACUCCUAAGCACACCAAGUUAAGAGUUAAAGAGCCGAGAGAGAAAAAGCUUUUGCCAGUUCUUUACACAUUCUUUCCCCUUCUGUCACCUGAACAAAAUCCCCUCUUCUUCUUCUUGUUUGUUUACUCUUCCUUCGUUACUUUGCAAAGAGGAGAAACCAUGGCCGGGGCUUUAGUAGGAGGAGCUUUUCUUUCUUCUUUCCUUAAUGUUUUGUUCGACAGGAUGGCCUCUCCCCAGGUGAUUGCCUUCUUCAGAGGCCAAAAAGUCAACGAUAGUAGUCUGCUGCAGAACUUUGAAGAAAACAAUGACAUCUCUCAGGGUGGUGCUUGAAGAUGCUGAGGAGAAGCAGAUAACAAGUUUAACUGUGCGGGAUUGGCUGGUCGAUCUUAAAGACGCUGUCUAUAACGCCGACGACUUCUUGGAUGAGAUUGCUUAUGAAGCUCUACGGCAGGAGUUGGAAGCUGAAGAGCAAACCUUCACAGGUCAGACGCAGAAGCUUCUUUCUUUCAUUAACCCACUUGAAAUACUGGGGUCGAGAGAGAUCGAAGAAAAAAUAGAAGUCCUUUUGCAGGAUCUAGAUCCCUUAGUUGCAGGAAUGGCAGCCCUUGGUUUGAACAACCGCAAUGUAGAAAAUCCAUCAUCGCAUAGAACACCAACAACUUCUCUCGUGGAUGGAUCUGGUGUUUAUGGCAGAGAUGAUGACAGGGAAGCAAUACUGAAGUUGCUUCUAUCAAAGGAUGCAAAUGGAGGAAACCCUGGUGUCGUCCCCAUUAGGGGAAUGGGCGGGGUUGGUAAAACCACGCUUGCUCAGCUUGUAUACAAUCACAGAAGAGUACAGAAGCGGUUCGACCUCAAAGCUUGGGUUUGUGUUUCAGAAGAUUUCAGUGUUUUGAAGUUAACCAAGGCGAUCCUUGAGGGGUUCGGUUCAAAGCCUGCUUCUGAUAAUCUGGAUAAGCUCCAGCUUCAGUUGAAGGACAGAUUGGAGGGAAAGAGAUUCUUGCUUGUUUUAGAUGACGUUUGGAAUGAAGAUUAUGCUGAGUGGGACAAGUUGCUUACCCCCCUGAAGUACGGAGCACAAGGGAGUAAGAUUCUUGUCACAACACGCAAUGAAAGUGUAGCAUCAGUCAUGAGAACUGUUCCAACUCAUCAUCUAAAAGAAUUGACGGAAGACAGCUGCUGGUCCUUGUUUGCCAAACAUGCAUUUCGUGGUGAAAAUCCCAAUGCUCAUGAAGAGUUGCUAGAGAUUGGAAGAGAAAUAGUGAGAAAGUGUAAAGGCCUUCCUCUAGCUGCGAAAACACUCGGAGGUCUGCUACGCACCAAAAGAGAUGUCGAGGAGUGGGAGAAGAUAUUGGAAAGCAAUCUAUGGGAUUUACCCAAAGACAAUAUCCUCCCAGCUUUGAGAUUAAGUUAUCAUCAUCUCCCGUCACAUCUGAAGCAAUGUUUUGCUUAUUGUGCCAUAUUUCCAAAAGACCAUGAAUUUCAAAAGGAUGAAUUAGUGCUCUGUGGAUGGCAGAGGGCUUCUUAGUCCCUCUGCAGUAGAUGAUGAGAUGGAAAAGCAGGUGCUGAGUGCUUUGAUGAUCUCUUGUCAAGGUCGUUUUUCCAGCAAUCAAGUGCCUCGCUCAUCAUUUGUGAUGCACGAUCUCAUGCAUGACUUGGCUACCCAUGUGUCCGGUCAAUUUUGCUUCAGCUCCAGGUUGGGGGAAAAUAAUUCUUCCAAGGCCACAGAAGGACUCGACAUUUAUCACUCGUAGUAGAUACGGGAAGGGUUUUUCAAGCACAAAAUUAGAAAACAUCCGUGAAGCCCAACUUCUACGCACAUUCCAACUUUUCACGCUAUUGUUGUCCUCCCGAAUUUAUAAUGAGAUCUUUCAGUCAACACUUGGGCGCCUACGAGUGCUAAUCAUGACUGGUUGUAGAGAUCAACUUGUUAUGUUCAACUAGCAAGUUGAAGCAUUUGCGGUAUUUGGAUCUCUUCGGUCAGAUUUAGUAACGUUGCCUGAAGAAGUGAGUGCUCUUCUCAAUUUGCAAACGUUGAUCUUGAAAAUGCAAACAACUUGCUAGUCUACCUGAUCUUGGAAAUUUGAAGCACUUACGACAUCUGAAUCUUGAAGGAACAAGGAAUCGAAAGGUUGCCUGAAUCUCUGGAAAGGUUAAUCAACUUGCGGUAUCUUAACAUCAAGCACCCUUUGAAAGAGAUGCCACCACAUAUAGGUCAACUGGCAAAGCUCCAAACGUUGAAUUAUUUUCUCGUGGGAAGACAGAGUGAGACUAGCAUUAAAGAAUUGGGAAAGCUACGACAUCUACGGGGAGAACUUCAUAUUGGGAACCUUCAAAAUGUGGUGGAUGCUCGGGAUGCUGGUGAGGCAAAUUUGAAAGGUAAAAAGCACCUUGAUAAGCUGAGGUUUACAUGGGAUGGUGACACUCAUGACCCGCAACACGUAACAAGCACACUUGAGAAAUUAGAGCCAAAUAGAAAGCUGAAGGAUCUUCAGAUUGAUGAUUAUGGAGGUGUAAGGUUUCCAGAGUGGGUAGGAGAGUCCUCUUUCUCAAAUAUAGUGUCCUUGAAGCUCAAUGGAUGUACAAACUGCACCUCCUUACCACCGCUCGGGCAAUUAUCUUCUUUAGAGGAUCUCUCCAUUGAAGGAUUUUAUAAAGUUGUGACUGUGGGCUCUGAGUUCUAUGGGAGUUGUACUGCUAUGAAGAAGCCAUUUGAAUCCCUCAAAACAUUAUCUUUUAGAAGGAUGCCAGAGUGGCGCGAGUGGAUUUCAGACGAAGGCAGCCGGGAAGCCUUCCCUCUUCUUGAUGUGCUUUUAAUCGCAGAAUGCCCCAAAUUAGUUUCAUUUCCCAAAGGAGGGUUACCUGCUCCAGUCUUGACACGACUUGAGUUAGAAGAAUGCAGGAACUUGAAGCAGUUGCCUGAGAGUAUGCAUUCCCUCUUCCCAUCCCUUACCGAUUUGGUAAUAAGAGAUUGUUUAGAAGUUGAGUUGUGUCCAGAAGGGGGUUUUCCCUCCACAUUACAAUCACUUGAGAUUUCUAGAUGCAACAAACUCAUUGCUGGCCGCAUGCAAUGGGGCUUGCAAACGCUCCAUUCUCUUUCACGCUUUACAAUUGAUUGGGACGAAAAUGUUGAAUCCUUCCCUGAAGAGAUGCUGCUGCCCUCAAGUCUUACAUCUCUUAGAAUCUAUUCCCUACAACACCUGAAAUCUCUUGACUACAAGGGGCUUCAACACCUCACCUCUCUUAGAACAUUGAAUAUAAAGAACUGCCCUCUGAUUGAGUCAAUGCCAGAAGAAGGGUUGCCCUCCUCCCUUUCUUCUCUUGUAAUUGAAGGUUGUUCCAUGCUGAAAUCUCUUCCAAGGCUUCACCACCUCACCUCUCUUACAGCAUUGGGUAUAUAUGGCUGCCCUCUGAUUGAGUCAAUGCCAGAAGAAGGGUUGCCCUCCUCCCUUUUUAUUCUUUCAAUUCUCAAUUGUCCUCUGCUGGGUGAAAGUUGUGAAAGGGAGAAAGGUAAAGAUUGGCCCAAGAUUUCUCACAUUCCUCACAUAAGUAUAUAUUGAGGUAUUGCUACUAAAUAGUUUAUUUUCUUUUCAGUAAUCAAAGGCAAUUUCAGUUAAAAUUUGGAUGAAUGAAAUACAGAUAUUGUCCAUUUUGUAUUGUUUAUAUUUGUUGGAUGUUGAAAUACAGAUAUUUUCUUCCUAUUGUCUCUCAUUCAUCUCCAUAAAUAAUAAUCAUCAUUCUAUUUCAAUAUAUCGAGCUGGAGGAUCAUCACAUGCUUCAGAUUUUGAACUGCCAGCACCAUCCUUAAUUUGGACAGGGGGCUAUUAUCAUCGAAUUUUAGCAACGGGAUAUUUCUUUUGCUAAUUUAACAACAGAAUGUGUAUAUAUGAUUUUUUUAAUAUCAACAAUGAAUUUAGUAAUAGAAAAUCCAUUGCUAAAAAGGAUUAAAAAAUUAAAUUAUUUAACUAAUUUGCAGCGGAUUUUUCAUUAUUGACGCUCUUGGCAACAUCAAAUCUGCAACUGAUUCCAAAAAUAAAUCAAACCCUUAAUUAUAUAAAAUCUGCAUCUUCAAAAAUUAAAAUAAAAUUAAAAUUCACCAUCUCUUUCUCUAGUCUCUUCCCUUCUCCAAAAAAUCAAAAUUCAAAAACUUUUUUUUUUAUCUUUUAUAUAUUAUUUAACUUUGAUUAAAUUGUUUUUAUUCCAUAUAAAGCAGAAGUUAAAAAAUGAUUUUGGAGUACAUGUAAGUCAUAUCUUUUUUGGAAUUUGCUUUGAUAAAAAACAGACAUAAAGAGAGAAGAUAAUAUAAAAUUCAUGACUCCUUAUCGAUAUAUAUAUAUUUUUUUUCCUUAGUUCAUUCGUUUGAUUACAUUUUUGCUUCAACUCUCAUCAACACUCCCUUGUUUCGUUGCACGGCAUCAUUUAAAUGUACAUGGCUUGUGUUAUGUUCGGGAACAAAUAUUGGGCCAUUAACCUUUUCAAGCAAUGAUGGAGUAGGAGUGCAGUUAAAGAACACGCCCUAGCUGUUUGACAGAAUGCCGAUGAAGAUGAUAGUCAUUUUAGUGGUGCUGCUUGUAACAACCCAGGUAAGAAAACUAACGACCUCUUGAUGUGGUUUUCUAGGAAAUAAAUUAAAUGUUUUUAUUUGUUCAUGUGUUUUCUUCAGGAGGUGGUGCUAACCAGAGAAAGCUAAAGCAGAGGAGGAUGGCCAACAUGUUGGAAAGGUAAAAGGAUGAAGCCUUUUGUUAGAGGUCUAGGUGCUGUUGCACUAACAAAAGCACAUUGCCUUGAGGAAGCCCUCAAGUCUUACAUCUCUUCACAUCUAUUCCCUAAAACACCUGAAAUCUCUUGACUACAAUGCCAGAAGAAGGGUUGCCCUCCUCCCUUUUUGCUCUUUUUAUUAACAAUUGUGAGAGGGAGAAAGGGUUAAAUGAUCUUUGUAUAUUUGACUGUCCAGAUCUGGAAUCACUAUGUGCACAUGAAAGACCUCUCAAUGAUCACAACUCUCUCGAUUAUUUGGAAAUCGAGGACUGCCGUAAAUUAGUUUCAUUUCCCAAAGGAGGGUUACCUGCUCCAGUCUUGAGAGGACUUCAUUUAGAAGGUUGCAGCAACCUGAAGCAGUUGCCUGAGAGUAUGCAUUCCCUCCUCCCAUCCCUUAACCGUUUGUAUAUAAGUAACUGCCCUUUGAUUGAGUCAACGCCAGAAGAAGGGUUGCCCUCCUCCCUUUCUUCUCUUGUAAUUAACAGUUGUCCUAUGCUGAAAUCUCUUCCAAGGCUUCAACACCUCACCUCUCUUACACGAUUGAAUAUACAUCACUGCCCUCUGAUUGAGUCAAUGCCAGAAGAAGGGUUGCCCUCCUCCCUUUCUUCUCUUGUAAUUGAAGAUUGUCCUAUGCUGCGUGUAAGUUGUGAAAGGGAGAAAGGUAAAGAUUGGCUCAAGAUUUCUCACAUUCCUCACAUACAUAUUUGGAGAAGUUAAAGGAGCUAAUACAUAAAUCACAUUCUUUCAAUCGUCCAACAUAUUGAGGUAUUGCUACUAAAUAGUUUAUUUUCUUUUCAGUAAUCAAAGGUAAUUUCAGUUAAAAUUUGGAUGAAUGAAAUACAUAUAUUGUCCUAGAAAGUUGUAUGUUUUUAUUUGUUGGAUGUUGAAAUACAGAUAAUUUCUUCCUAUUGUCUCUCAUUCAUCUCCAUAAAUAAUAAUCAUCAUUCUAUUUCAAUAUCUUUUUUGCUAUAAUUAAUGCUACUAUUGUUCCUCUAUCAACUGCGGCAAAUAAACAUCACAUGCUUCCGAUUUUGAACUGCCAGCGCCACCCUUAAAAAACAAGUGUCCAUCUUAAAAGACAACGGGCCUAGCAGAGCUGAAAAGGAUUAAAAAAUAUUUAAAUAAUCUGCAACAUAUUUUUCAUUGUUGACGCGACAAAAUCAAAAUUCAAAAUUUAAAAUCUCCAUUCUCUCCUUAUCCGCAUCUUCAAAAAUUCAAAAUCUUUUCCCCACCUCUUUCUCUAAUCUAUUCCCCUUCUCCAAAAAUUCAAAAUCCAAAAACUUUUGAUUUGUUUAUUUUAUUAUCACUUAACUUUGAUUAAAAAACUUUUCUUGAAGUUUACUUCCAUCAAAGAUCUUUUAUAGAUAUAAAAAGAAGAGAUAAUAUAAAAUUCAUCCGCGUAUUGGAAUCACAAUUCAGAAUCAAGUGAAAGCGGCCAAUGUCACUCGAGAGAGUAGGCACUUGCAAAUCUGCUAAUAAUUAUUGGUGUUUAUUCCUCAUGAUGAUCCAGUGAGCUGACAAUAAAAGAAAACCUCGGCAUUACUAGUAAAUCGUCACUGCAAGCAUGGAAGAGAUUCAGGUAGGAAUUACCCUUGUCUUCAUUGAGAGGCUUUAACCUCCCUAGCUCCUUCAUCAGCAGGCCCAUGGUUCGAUGCAUCCUCUGAAGCGUCUAAGCAAGGAUUGCUUUUACACUGACUUACAGGCUGAGCACUGGUCAAGAGACUAGAAAGUUGAGACCCCCUUUGCGAAAAGUUUGGUUUACCUUUCGGAGUCUCAGACAGGCUUCCCGUUGACAGCUUUGAUAGGCCCAUAGUCAUGUGCUCACACGGGAGCUUAGUUGAAAAAGGUGAUUCAGGUGUAUCAGGAUGCUUCCCAGGAAUAUCCAUCGGUCUAUGAAACAGCAAAUGAGCCACAGUCCGGUCUACGGGAUUGGUCUCUGUUUCCACCUCAGGCAUCUUAACCACCCUGCAGUAUACUCAUAAAAUCCAU
This 37741-nucleotide long non-coding RNA is filed under the name Populus tremula. RNAcentral describes it as "long non-coding RNA (PTRE_LNC001924)". Lineage: Eukaryota; Viridiplantae; Streptophyta; Magnoliopsida; Malpighiales; Salicaceae. The record is from RNAcentral.